This 253-nucleotide ribosomal RNA is filed under the name [Lactobacillus] rogosae. RNAcentral describes it as "Lactobacillus rogosae partial 16S ribosomal RNA". It matches the Rfam family "Bacterial small subunit ribosomal RNA", at positions 524 to 776 of the family's 1533-position model. The record is from RNAcentral. Lineage: Bacteria; Bacillati; Bacillota; Clostridia; Lachnospirales; Lachnospiraceae.
UACGUAUGGAGCAAGCGUUAUCCGGAUUUACUGGGUGUAAAGGGAGUGUAGGUGGCCAGGUAAGUCAGAAGUGAAAGCCCGGGGCUCAACCCCGGGACUGCUUUUGAAACUGCAGGGCUAGAGUGCAGGAGGGGCAAGUGGAAUUCCUAGUGUAGCGGUGAAAUGCGUAGAUAUUAGGAGGAACACCAGUGGCGAAGGCGGCUUGCUGGACUGUAACUGACACUGAGGCUCGAAAGCGUGGGGAGCAAACAGG